Molecule: ribosomal RNA, 512 nt
Filed under: uncultured bacterium
Lineage: Bacteria
Description: bacterial SSU rRNA
Rfam family: Bacterial small subunit ribosomal RNA
Source: RNAcentral
AGCAGAGAUGCUUUGGUGCCUUCGGGAACUCUGAGACAGGUGCUGCAUGGCUGUCGUCAGCUCGUGUUGUGAAAUGUUGGGUUAAGUCCCGCAACGAGCGCAACCCUUUAUCCUUUGUUGCCAGCGGUCCGGCCGGGAAACUCAAAGGAGACUGCCAGUGAUAAACUGGAGGAAGGUGGGGAUGACGUCAAGUCAUCAUGGCCCUUACGAGUAGGGCUACACACGUGCUACAAUGGCGCAUACAAAGAGAAGCGACCUCGCGAGAGCAAGCGGACCUCAUAAAGUGCGUCGUAGUCCGGAUUGGAGUCUGCAACUCGACUCCAUGAAGUCGGAAUCGCUAGUAAUCGUAGAUCAGAAUGCUACGGUGAAUACGUUCCCGGGCCUUGUACACACCGCCCGUCACACCAUGGGAGUGGGUUGCAAAAGAAGUAGGUAGCUUAACCUUCGGGAGGGCGCUUACCACUUUGUGAUUCAUGACUGGGGUGAAGUCGUAACAAGGUAAGCGUAGCGAG